This 254-nucleotide ribosomal RNA is filed under the name uncultured bacterium. RNAcentral's name for it is "partial 16S ribosomal RNA". It matches the Rfam family "Bacterial small subunit ribosomal RNA", at positions 524 to 776 of the family's 1533-position model. The record is from RNAcentral.
GACGUAGGGCGCGAGCGUUGUCCGGAUUUAUUGGGCGUAAAGAGCUCGUAGGCGGUUUGUUGCGUCGGCUGUGAAAUCCCGAGGCUCAACCUCGGGUCUGCAGUCGAUACGAGCAAACUAGAGUGUUGCAGGGGAGACUGGAAUUCCUGGUGUAGCGGUGAAAUGCGCAGAUAUCAGGAGGAACACCGGUGGCGAAGGCGGGUCUCUGGGCCGAUACUGACGCUGGAGGAGCGAAAGCGUGGGGAGCGAACAGG